UUUCAGUGUCUAAAAGUCAGUGAAGGAAAAUAUGUCAUGUUCAUAAACCUAGUUCCUGACUGUUCUUUAUAGCAUCAGAAAACACCAGACUUCAAAAUUUGCUACUUACUGCUCAUUACAGGGCAUGAGUGAUGGGUUGUUUAUAGAAACAUGGACACCUUUACAGUAGUGAUACCACUGAAGAAAAUGUCUCUCCUGCCCCCGGAAAUCAUCAGUUGCAUAUGAAGACUCAAAGAAAGGCUUUUACAUAACCAAGAAUCAUCCCAGGAACCCCGAGCUAGCCUUGAACUCUAUGUAGCCGAAGAUGGAUCUGAACUUCUGCUGCUCAGGCUCCCACUCCAGAACACUGGAAUUACAGACUCCCCAAGAUUCCAGAGGUCAAGGAAGAGAGGGAAGCAGGUUGAGGAACAGCAGUGAUAUCAGGGCCAGCUGGCUAUGGACAUGCAUUUGUGCCUUCAGAAAGACACCAAAUUAGACCAAAGACUCGGAACACAAGACUCUGACUUUGAGCUGCUGGGCUGAAUGUCAUAGACAAGCAGUGAGACCUGUGAGAGGCCUGGACAAAGAAAAUCAUGACCAGUCCUGCGCUUUCAGAAAGACAACAGGCCCCGGCAUUCCUUUGAGGAAGUAAAUGUGGGUGCCAGUUAGGAAACUUCUGUAAAGAAAAGGGCCACUAGAAAUGCAGUGGAAGCCAAGAACAGAAAAAAAAAAAAAAAAAAGAGUCAACCACUAAGAAUAACUGAGAAAGGAGAGAGACUGCAGAAAUGACAGGAGUAUUAUAAAAUAAAGAAAUUGUGAAAAUAAAUAUGAGAAAUUAUUGCACAUAAAACAUAUUAGGAAUGUGGGAAUGUGCCCUAAGUUUUGGUAUUUCACAGUCCAAACAAUCAUAUUAAUAUAUCUGUGGAAGAUAGUAAAAAUUAUUCCCAUGUCUAUUCCAUAAGACUCUAAAGAUCAGAAAAGUAAAAUAUUUUUUAAAAAAAUUAAAAUUACCAAUCAGAUAUGGGGGUACCUGCCUGUAUUCCCAGGACUUGAGGGUUUUAGAUAAGAAGAUCACAAGUUUUAGGUAUCCUGAGUAACCUAGUAUGCUCAAGGCCAGUCUGAACUACAGGGUAAGACUCAGUCUCAAAAAUACUAAGGACCUGAGCUAUAACUCAACCACACAGCUCUUGCUUAGCAUGAGCGAGACCUAGAGUUAGAUAUCACAAAAACAUAAAGGAAGGGAGGGAGGGAGGGAGGCUGGAGAGAGGAAGGGACGAAGAAUAG
Long non-coding RNA from Meriones unguiculatus (Mongolian gerbil), 1263 nucleotides. RefSeq lists it as uncharacterized. The record is from RefSeq and is a predicted model, not a curated record. The transcript is spliced from 5 exons. Lineage: Eukaryota; Metazoa; Chordata; Mammalia; Rodentia; Muridae.